CCUACGGGCGGCUGCAGUGGGGAAUAUUGGACAAUGGGGGGAACCCUGAUCCAGCCAUGCCGCGUGUGUGAAGAAGGCCCUCGGGUUGUAAAGCACUUUCAGUGAGGAAGAACGCCUGGUGGUUAAUACCCAUCAGGAAAGACAUCACUCACAGAAGAAGCACCGGCUAACUCCGUGCCAGCAGCCGCGGUAAUACGGAGGGUGCGAGCGUUAAUCGGAAUUACUGGGCGUAAAGCGCGCGUAGGUGGCUUGAUAAGCCGGUUGUGAAAGCCACGGGCUCAACCUGGGAACGGCAUCCGGAACUGUCAAGCUAGAGUGCAGGAGAGGAAGGUAGAAUUCCCGGUGUAGCGGUGAAAUGCGUAGAGAUCGGGAGGAAUACCAGUGGCGAAGGCGGCCUUCUGGACUGACACUGACACUGAGGUGCGAAAGCGUGGGUAGCAAACAGGAUUAGAUACCCCGGUAGUC
Molecule: ribosomal RNA, 465 nt
Filed under: Vreelandella stevensii
Lineage: Bacteria; Pseudomonadati; Pseudomonadota; Gammaproteobacteria; Oceanospirillales; Halomonadaceae
Description: partial 16S ribosomal RNA
Rfam family: Bacterial small subunit ribosomal RNA
Source: RNAcentral